Long non-coding RNA from Notolabrus celidotus (New Zealand spotty), 914 nucleotides. RefSeq lists it as uncharacterized. The transcript is spliced from 3 exons. The record is from RefSeq and is a predicted model, not a curated record. Lineage: Eukaryota; Metazoa; Chordata; Actinopteri; Labriformes; Labridae.
CUAAUCUCUAUGGUUUGCUCCUUGAGCUUUGAAGUAGGUGCUCAGGCUUUUCCCAACUCUUUGGACUCCGCCCCCUCCAGAGGAGACAACCAGGAAGAGGGCCAGCAGUGUGUCAUCCUGAUUGGCCACCAGUGGAGCGAGUAGUCACCUUGGCCAAACCUGACCCAGCUCCUACCCAGCCUACCCCAAGCAGCAGCUAACUCACCACUACAGCACUAUCAGAGAGCAGUCCAGCCGGAGAAAAACUACAAGCAAGAGAUGCUGCGAGCACAGACAACAGCAGCAGCAACAGCAGCAGCGUAAUAGUCCAUACCGUAACCUAGUGAAGACACGCCACGCAGCCUGCUGGAUCUGCAAAGGAUGCUCAGCUUGACCACGUGACACUGGAGGACAAACCUGCCACUCUGAAGUCACUGAUGGAUGGACAAUAACAAGGCGGUGUGUGCUUUGUUUUGUUCAUGGAGGGUAGGACGAGUACAAGCAGCUGUUUUAAUUCCAGCCAUCAUCGCGAUUAUUAUUUCAUCCAGUCAUCACGUGCGGCAGAGUAAUGGGGUCAAGCAUACGCUGAAAAUAAAUAAAUAAUAGAGCGAAGAUUUGUUUCGCAUUUUAAAAUUCAGUCGAAAUUGUUAUAAUAAUGUCGAACUUUUAAGUUCCAGAUAUGGCGAAAAAAUAUUUUAUAUGUGCUACUUAUACUCUAAGAUUGUUUUUCUCAGAACUUGCAAAUCAAACAAUGAAUAGAUGGGUCCUCUGUUCUUUCAUAUAGCCUUGAUUCACAUUGAAUUGAGUAUUGUUAAUAGAAUAUGCAGUAGUACUUAUGGUAUUCCAAUAAAUACAAUAAUGACAUUAAAUAUUUAUAAUAAGCUUUCAGGGGGUUCCCAAAGUGUAGGUCGGGACCCCCUGGGGGGUCGCGAGAC